Molecule: ribosomal RNA, 482 nt
Filed under: uncultured bacterium
Lineage: Bacteria
Description: partial 16S ribosomal RNA
Rfam family: Bacterial small subunit ribosomal RNA
Source: RNAcentral
AUUGAACGCUGGCGGCAUGCUUUACACAUGCAAGUCGAACGGUAACAGGCCGCAAGGUGCUGACGAGUGGCGAACGGGUGAGUAAUGCAUCGGAACGUGCCCAGUCGUGGGGGAUAACUACUCGAAAGAGUAGCUAAUACCGCAUACGAUCUAUGGAUGAAAGCGGGGGACCGUAAGGCCUCGCGCGAUUGGAGCGGCCGAUGUCAGAUUAGGUAGUUGGUGGGGUAAAGGCUCACCAAGCCAACGAUCUGUAGCUGGUCUGAGAGGACAACCAGCCACACUGGGACUGAGACACGGCCCAGACUCCUACGGGAGGCAGCAGUGGGGAAUUUUGGACAAUGGGCGCAAGCCUGAUCCAGCAAUGCCGCGUGCAGGAAGAAGGCCUUCGGGUUGUAAACUGCUUUUGUACGGAACGAAACGGCUCUGGUUAAUACCCGGGGCUAAUGACGGUACCGGAAGAAUAAGCACCGGCUAACUAUGUG